RNAcentral lists this ribosomal RNA (204 nucleotides) under Vibrio sp. OPT18. Its description in RNAcentral is "partial 16S ribosomal RNA". It matches the Rfam family "Bacterial small subunit ribosomal RNA", at positions 903 to 1106 of the family's 1533-position model. The record is from RNAcentral. Lineage: Bacteria; Pseudomonadati; Pseudomonadota; Gammaproteobacteria; Vibrionales; Vibrionaceae.
AAAUGAAUUGACGGGGGCCCGCACAAGCGGUGGAGCAUGUGGUUUAAUUCGAUGCAACGCGAAGAACCUUACCUACUCUUGACAUCCAGAGAAGCCAGCGGAGACGCAGGUGUGCCUUCGGGAGCUCUGAGACAGGUGCUGCAUGGCUGUCGUCAGCUCGUGUUGUGAAAUGUUGGGUUAAGUCCCGCAACGAGCGCAACCCUU